This 465-nucleotide ribosomal RNA is filed under the name uncultured Klebsiella sp. RNAcentral describes it as "bacterial SSU rRNA". It matches the Rfam family "Bacterial small subunit ribosomal RNA", at positions 338 to 795 of the family's 1533-position model. Lineage: Bacteria; Pseudomonadati; Pseudomonadota; Gammaproteobacteria; Enterobacterales; Enterobacteriaceae. The record is from RNAcentral.
CCUACGGGUGGCUGCAGUGGGGAAUAUUGCACAAUGGGCGCAAGCCUGAUGCAGCCAUGCCGCGUGUGUGAAGAAGGCCUUCGGGUUGUAAAGCACUUUCAGCGGGGAGGAAGGCGGUGAGGUUAAUAACCUCAUCGAUUGACGUUACCCGCAGAAGAAGCACCGGCUAACUCCGUGCCAGCAGCCGCGGUAAUACGGAGGGUGCAAGCGUUAAUCGGAAUUACUGGGCGUAAAGCGCACGCAGGCGGUCUGUCAAGUCGGAUGUGAAAUCCCCGGGCUCAACCUGGGAACUGCAUUCGAAACUGGCAGGCUAGAGUCUGGUAGAGGGGGGUAGAAUUCCAGGUGUAGCGGUGAAAUGCGUAGAGAUCUGGAGGAAUACCGGUGGCGAAGGCGGCCCCCUGGACAAAGACUGACGCUCAGGUGCGAAAGCGUGGGGAGCAAACAGGAUUAGAUACCCGUGUAGUC